ACAGAAGACGAAGAGCUGGAAUAGAGCUCGCCUCGGCUCUGCUGGCCUUGGCUGCAGCUCUUCCAGAAACCCGGGGCGCCCACAGAAGAAUCUCUUACCUGGCUCUCUCUUCAGGGAUGACAUCAUCGGCUCACACCAGUCUUCCAGGACCACCUUCUGGAUGCCAAGGCUGCUGCUCGAGUACCUGCUGUGCACCUCUACCUCCUGGUACCCCAGCCACUCCCUCAAGUUGCCUGCAUGUUAUAUGGCCUAGCCAAGGAGCACGGAUUCCAGGAACCCACUACCAUACAGAGCAACUCCUUGUGGACCCCCCUGGGAUCAGGACAGCGAGGGACAAGCGACAAAGAGGAUCAUCAGUGGCCAGCUAGUUUCUCUGGGGUUCAAACCUUGAACCAGUGCCCUAGUGAGGGGGCACUGGCCAUGGCCCUUGACCUUUGCUCUGCUUGUGUCUUGAGUCUGAGCCCUUUCCUGUACAUCUGUGCUCGUGUUCAUCUGCUAGUGAACUGGAGUGCUGCCCUCCCCGAGGAGGGUCGUCCCUUGUGACUGAUCAUGCUGUCCUAACAAUGUCCUGAGCAAAAGGGUCCCUUUGGGAACCUCUCAGGAGGGGGACCCGGGUCAGGGGCGACCAGCAUCUUGCUGGCAACUCCGUGGGUGGGGUGGGGUGGGGUGCUUCCUUCUGGAAUGAGCACGUGGCUGACCCCCCAAGGCAUGUCCCCUCCCCCUCCUCCACCCACCUUCUCGGAGAUGUCCCUUUUGGGGUAGUGGGGACAUUAGGAGCAACCUCCUAGGGUUGUUGUGAGAAUUAAAUGAACUGCAGCAGCCUGAGGCAGGGCUGGGCAGAGACCUCAGCACAUGUUUGUUGAAAGGUUUGCAGGUGGAUCUAGUCCUCCCGUUCAUGGCUCAUGUGUCUCAACCAUUCUCUCGCAGACUCCUGCAGCCCCUAUGCCCAGGGCUCUCCUUGCGCCAGAGGUAGGUGGGAAAGAGAACUGGGAGAGCCCGGACUCACUCAUGAGAUUGAACUUAAAUUCACACGGAGGACACUUGGACUCUUGCCACAUUAGCCCCGGCUUCUCGAGGCCUGUCUACACUCGCUGCUUUCCUUCCUCACCUCCAAUUUCCCCUCCAACCCACUGCUUCCUGACUCGCUCUUCUCCAUCGAACGGCUCUCGCUCAGGUUUAAGGCUUGGCUUGCUGGCCCUGGAGAUCCCGUCGCCGUCUUCGUCGAACUCGAAAUCCUAGCCAUCGUCCUUCCCUGGCCUGUCGCGUCUUCCUGUGCCAUUUGCUGUUGUGCUCAGGUUCCACGAGCUGCCCAUCUCCACAGAAGAGCAGCUGGCAUUGCCCACCGGCCAUGCCGGCUGAAGAAAAGAAGACUGAGGACCCCAGGAUGCCCAGCGCGAGGACCCCAGGAAGCCCAGCGCGAGGACUCCACCCACGACGCCCAGCGCGAGGACUUCACGCACAACACGUUGCAACCCUCCUGGAUUAGGCCAAAGCCAUCAUCUGGAAUCCUGCGUGGGACCCUGGACACACGGACACAGACACCUGCCCCCAGGACCCUCCAACUGUAAAUCGAUUGGAAGCGCCCUUGUGAGCUGGGGCCUUCAAAGGGCUGAGGAGAAAAUGCAGGCCGAGAGACCAGCUUCUCAAAUAGGCUUCAAGCCUCCAUGACCUGAGCUCACCCCCUGGAAAUGUCUGGAAAACAUAAUGGGCAGGUUUUCUGUCUUCAAAGUUUCCAUCAAAACCUCUUCAAGUUCUUUAUUGUUUAGGACUGAGACACUUGGGGACAGUAAUGGGGACUUUCUUUUGUAUCUGUCUUGAAAGGCCAAAAUAUUUUUAUAUUGCUGUAGACAAAGCCACCUAUUUACAAAUGGACUCUUGUUCCGUCGUUUCCCACCAGGAAGACCGUACUAUGUUUGUGUCUCUAUGUAUUCUGGGGUCUUGAAACAGGUUUCUCAUGGGGAUGGCCAUUCACUAGAGCCCAGAGGGGCAGAAGGGGAAGUGUCUACCCUGCCAAGGGGGUCUGGGGAAGGAGGGGGGCUAGUCUCAGAUUUGCUCCUUGUAUGUCUAGGGUAAACCCUGGGAGAAUCUGGUGGUAAAAGAACAUAUGCUGUGUUUGCCCCA
Molecule: long non-coding RNA, 2121 nt
Filed under: Mus musculus (house mouse)
Lineage: Eukaryota; Metazoa; Chordata; Mammalia; Rodentia; Muridae
Description: maternally expressed 3
Rfam family: Maternally expressed 3 conserved region 2 (bases 564-665)
Source: RNAcentral